GCGCGUCUCCGGCCGGGCGGGGCUGUGGGGGGGGGGCGACGCAGCUGUUAGCUCCGCCUCCUCGCUGCGCCCCUAGGCUUCAGACCCCCGCACCUUGGAGCUGCAGCUCCCGCCUUUUCUUCCUCACUUAGCGGCGGAGCAAGCUUUCCAGACUCGUCAGUGGCUUUUUUGGGGGAUAAAGACACAAAUCCUCGCUGGGCCCCGAAGCCCUGGGGACCCGAGCCCUGCGGCCUCCCGGCCUCCCCCCUCCUCUUCCCCGCCCGCCCCUCCGCCCCAGCCAUCCUGGCCUUCUGCCGCACCCUACCUUGCCCCGGGCUUUGGCCCAGCCUGCGCCCCGGGCCUAGCCAGUCCUGCUCCCCGGGCCUAGCCACUCCUACCCCCCCGCUCCCCCUCCGCCUUCUCCAGCCCCAGUCUCUCCUCUGCUGCAGCUGCCCUCCCCAGCUCCGCGCACCCGGGCCAAUUCCCAGAUCAAGGCCCGGGGGAAAUUUGGCUCUCGCCGCCGCCUCCGGGGUCCACAGCCCCACCCCCCGUCAUGUGAUCAAGAACAGGCCUUGCUUCCCCGGACUCCAGUGGCUCAGCUCUGACCCCACCACUGCCCUGAGGAACCCCAGAUGCGGAGCCUUGAGUUCAAACCCAGCCCUCUAACGGACACAUCUGUGGCCGCCCUGGGAGAUCAGCCCAUUCGUGUGCUUGCAAAACAGCCCAGCCUGCUUUGGGAGAACGCUGCUGAUUUGCCAGCAUGAGCUGGGGCUGCUUGGUGGACGUUGAACCUCCCCUGCCCUCCCUGCAAGGUGCUGUCUCCUCAGGCCUGGUGUGAGGCUAAUAUGACCUCCUGGAUCCUAGCAACACUCAAACAGUGCGUGGCCCGCGGCGGGUGCUCAAUAACUAUAGGCCUUCAUUGAUAAAUACCAUUGAAUGGUUCAGGUAUAUUUUAAAAUUACGAGCAGUUUCAAACAUCCACAAAAGCAGAGAGAACUCAACAGUCUGAUGAAUCAGCUACAGCUACGUCAACCCACAAGCCUAAGGGCAACCAUUUAAUGAGUUUUUCCUCCAUCAUUUCUAACAUAAUUGAAAAUGGAUUUGUAUACCCCUAACCUUUUAAUUUUUUAAAAUUUUAUUUAUUUACUUAUGGUUGUGCUGGGUCUUCACUGCUGCACGCAGGCUUUCUCUUUGGAGGAAAUCAUAAGACUCAGUUAGAUAAAAAGUCUUCAGUGAGUGGUGAGCUAUACCAUGUCCAUAGAUUGGAAAACAACAUUAUAAAGAGGUCCGUGCUCCCCUGGUGAUAUAUGAGUUCAAUACCAUCCCAGUUAAAACCGCAAUGGGCUGUAUCACAGAACCCUGCACUGGGCUUACUC
Long non-coding RNA from Bos taurus (domestic cattle), 1355 nucleotides. Lineage: Eukaryota; Metazoa; Chordata; Mammalia; Artiodactyla; Bovidae. The record is from Ensembl.